AUUGAACGCUGGCGCCAUGCCUUACACAUGCAAGUCGAACGCGAAAGCGGAGCAAUCCGCAAGUAGAGUGGCGAACGGGUGAGUAAUACAUCGGAACAUAUCCAGUAGCGGGGGAUAACCUGUCGAAAGAUAGGCUAAUACCGCAUACGAUCUACGGAUGAAAGCAGGGGACCGCAAGGCCUUGCACUAUUGGAGUGGCCGAUGUCAGAUUAGCUAGUUGGUGGGGUAAAAGCCUACCAAGGCGACGAUCUGUAGCUGGUCUGAGAGGACGAUCAGCCACACUGGAACUGAGACACGGUCCAGACUCCUACGGGAGGCAGCAGUGGGGAAUUUUGGACAAUGGGCGAAAGCCUGAUCCAGCCAUGCCGCGUGAGUGAAGAAGGCCUUCGGGUUGUAAAGCUCUUUCGGUGAAGACGAAACGGUUAGCGCUAAUAACGCUGACUAAUGACGGUACUCACAGAAGAAGCACCGGCUAACUACGUGCCAGCCGCCGCCGUAA
Molecule: ribosomal RNA, 499 nt
Filed under: uncultured bacterium
Lineage: Bacteria
Description: partial 16S ribosomal RNA
Rfam family: Bacterial small subunit ribosomal RNA
Source: RNAcentral